This is a non-coding RNA of Phascolarctos cinereus (koala), 877 nucleotides long. Lineage: Eukaryota; Metazoa; Chordata; Mammalia; Diprotodontia; Phascolarctidae. The record is from RefSeq and is a predicted model, not a curated record.
GAAAACUAAGGCAAAUAGAAGCAUAAUGACUUGCUUCUGGCUCUAAAUCUCAAGCUCCCAAGAGGACCUAAUGAUGCUAGAUGUAAAUGGAUGCCCAUCAGUUGACGCAUGGAUGCAAUAGAAUAUUAUUGUCCCAUAAUAAGUGAUGGAUAUGAAGAAUAUAAAAAAACCUCAAGAUUUGCAUGCACCGACACAAAAGGAAUCUACAAUAACUAGGAAACCAGAGAACGAGGCUCAUUCCAAUUAAUGGUGAGUGGCCCGUGGAUCAGACCUAAGGGGAUCUUCAGAGUAACGUAAAUGACUUUGGACUGCUUGCCAUUCGUUGGCUAAAAUCAGAAGCAAUGGAAGGAAGCUGCAAAUAAGCCACAUUAGGCUUGAAGUUGAGAAUAACUUACUAAUAAGAAGCAUCCCAAAGUGCUUAUAGAGGUGGACUGCUCUCACUCCCUGGAGGUCUUCAAGCAGAGGCUAGUCAACCACUUCUCAGGUACAUUAUAGCAGGAUUCCUUUCACGUGUGGAUUGGACUGGACUGGAAUUCUAUGAUUCUGGGGGUAUGUGAGCUUUGUUGCCUUGAACAGUGGAGGGAUGGCUUUUUAGGAUAAGAGAAAUUGGGUCUGAAUCCUGGCUGUGUCAUUUAUUAUCUGCAUGGCUUUUAUAAAGUCUCAACCACUCCUAACCCAUUCUCUCAAUAUAAAAUGAGGCGACUGGAUUAGAUGAUGUCUGAAGUCACUUUGAUUUCUUAGACCCAUGAUCCUAAGAUCCUUUCACUAGAGCAUUGGAGGACUAUAGGUGUUGAAAGUGUUGCAUACACUGACAGACAAUGCUGGCUGCUUUUGUUUCUGUCAGGCAGGCAGUCAACAAGCAUUUGUCAGGCACCGA